GAUGAACGCUAGCUACAGGCUUAACACAUGCAAGUCGAGGGGAAACGACAUCGAAAGCUUGCUUUUGAUGGGCGUCGACCGGCGCACGGGUGAGCAACGCGUAUCCAACCUGCCCAUCACUUGGGAAUAACCUUGCGAAAGUAAGACUAAUACCCAAUGACAUCCCACGAAGACAUCUGAAUGGGAUUAAAGAUUUAUCGGUGAUGGAUGGGGAUGCGUCUGAUUAGCUUGUUGGCGGGGUAACGGCCCACCAAGGCAACGAUCAGUAGGGGUUCUGAGAGGAAGGUCCCACACAUUGGAACUGAGACAAGGGCCAAACUCAUACGGGAGGCAGCAGUGAGGAAUAUUGGUCAAUGGGCGAGAGCCUGAACCAGCCAAGUAGCGUGCAGGAUGACGGCCCCAUGGGUUGUAAACUGCUUUUAUAAGGGAAUAAAGUGGGUCUCGUGAGACUUUUUGCAUGUACCUUAUGAAUAAGGACCGGCUAAUUCCGUG
This 492-nucleotide ribosomal RNA is filed under the name uncultured bacterium. RNAcentral describes it as "partial 16S ribosomal RNA". It matches the Rfam family "Bacterial small subunit ribosomal RNA", at positions 28 to 507 of the family's 1533-position model. The record is from RNAcentral.